UAAUACGUAGGGUGCAAGCGUUGUUCGGAAUCAUUGGGCGUAAAGCGCGUGUAGGCGGUUUGCUAAGUCUGGUGUGAAAGCCCAAGGCUUAACCUUGGAAGUGCACUGGAUACUGGCAAGCUAGAGGACGAGAGAGGGAAGUGGAAUUCCUGGUGUAGGGGUGAAAUCCGUAGAUAUCAGGAGGAACAUCGGUGGCGAAGGCGACUUCCUGGCUCGUAACUGACGCUCAGACGCGAAAGCGUGGGUAGCAAACAGGAUUAGAUACCCUGGUAGUCCACGCCCUAAACGAUGGAUACUAGACGUCGGAAUACCUAAUAGUUUCGGUGUCGCAGCUAACGCAUUAAGUAUCCCGCCUGGGAAGUACGGUCGCAAGAUUA
This 377-nucleotide ribosomal RNA is filed under the name uncultured bacterium. RNAcentral describes it as "bacterial SSU rRNA". It matches the Rfam family "Bacterial small subunit ribosomal RNA", at positions 521 to 896 of the family's 1533-position model. The record is from RNAcentral.